GACGAACGCUGGCGGCGUGCUUAACACAUGCAAGUCGAACGAUGACGCCCGAGCUUGCUCGGUCUGAUUAGUGGCGAACGGGUGAGUAACACGUGAGCAACCUGCCCUUCACUCUGGGAUAACCUCGGGAAAUCGGGGCUAAUACCGGAUAUGAGCUCCUGUCGCAUGGCGGGUGUUGGAAAGUUUUUCGGUGAAGGAUGGGCUCGCGGCCUAUCAGUUUGUUGGUGAGGUAGUGGCUCACCAAGGCGAUGACGGGUAGCCGGCCUGAGAGGGCGACCGGCCACACUGGGACUGAGACACGGCCCAGACGCCUACGGGAGGCAGCAGUGGGGAAUAUUGCACAAUGGGCGAAAGCCUGAUGCAGCGACGCCGCGUGAGGGAUGACGGCCUUCGGGUUGUAAACCUCUUUCAGCAGGGAAGAAGCGAAAGUGACGGUACCUGCAGAAGAAGCGCCGGCUAACUACGUG
Molecule: ribosomal RNA, 467 nt
Filed under: uncultured bacterium
Lineage: Bacteria
Description: partial 16S ribosomal RNA
Rfam family: Bacterial small subunit ribosomal RNA
Source: RNAcentral